This is a long non-coding RNA of Brassica napus (rape), 2110 nucleotides long. RefSeq lists it as uncharacterized. Lineage: Eukaryota; Viridiplantae; Streptophyta; Magnoliopsida; Brassicales; Brassicaceae. The transcript has 2 exons. The record is from RefSeq and is a predicted model, not a curated record.
UAUAUAAUGGCUUUAUAUUCUUCUGAAAAAGUUAUUAAUUCUUGACACUCAUCAGUAUACCAACACGUACAUGUCAGCAAAUUUAUAAAAAAAAUUAUAAUCUUAUUAAUUUUACUUUUUAUCUAACCUUAUGAAUUUUAUCCAUAUUUACAUUUGAUCUUAUCUCUUAUUUAGUUUUAAAAGGUUUUUGUUUACUAGGGAGGAUAAUGUCGUUUUCUUCUUCUUUUGGGGAGGGGACAGUAUUUAAUGGUGUAAUAAUAAAUUCCAGAGAUAAUUUUCGAUUCAAAAUUAAAAACAAGUGAUUGUUGAGAUCACAACAAUGACUAGGUUAAUUAAUUCAAAUGUGUAGCCCAACAAGUAAUUGAGAAGUUGACCUGAAAAAAAAAAUUCAAAAGCCAACGUAAAUAGUCAAAAACCCAUGAAAACUUGUUUUUGGUUUUUAUGUUAAAAAAAUCUAGUUUCUUUACAUUUUAGGGAAUCCAUUCUUUGAAAAUCUUGAUUGGGUGUAAAAUAGAUUUUGAAAAAACAAAAACUAAUCUAAAAACUACAAACAAUCAAGUUCUUAAUGAGAGAAUCGAAUGGCUGGAAACAAAAAAGGAGUGACGGUUACGUUUGCUUGCAGACGGAUACUUUACCAAUAAGGCAAGCUAAAGAGGACGAAGACUUGAUCCACACGAAUCAUCAUCAUCUUCCCAUCUUCUCUUAUUCAUUUACAAUUUUUAUUAAUUGGGAAUUAUUAAUUUUCUUCUUGCUUCUAUGUCUAUCAGUAUUCAGUAGUGCAAGUCCAAUCCAAUUUUCUUUCAGUUUUCAGUUCAUAGUUCUUCUUCCAAUCUAUAUAUAUAUAAAAAUGUUUGCCUCCCUCCUGAGGUGUCCACGUGGAAACUCUUUUAUUAUAGAGGCAACACAUGUCCUGCUCGAAUGAAACUCAUCGUUUCAUUUUUUUUGGUGUGGGCUUUGAUUUUUCAUCUGGCCCGAGAAGUUGGAGUUUGUCUCUAACCCUAAUCCUGGAGAAUAUGAAUUGGCGUUCGUAAAUCGUCGUCAUACGACAUACAACGGCAGAAUGAUUCGACUUUAUCCUUUACCGGAUUCCAGAUCCAGUGACGAAAAUCAAAACUGUGGGAUACUCCUUUUCUUCAACCCGCAAAGAAUCUCCGCCGUAGAUCCGCGAGAAGCCGCGAACAAAGGAGGGGAAGCGAUCGCCAAGAACGAGGGCUUCUCGACAUCGGGAACACGGAGCUGGAGGUACUGGCCGAGCCGAGUGUAGGAAGCCACGAGAUCAGGGGAGUUAUAAUCUUCGAUCCAGACGUGGAUGGAAUAGUGAUUCGGCGGCGGAUUCGAUUAGAGAGAGGAGCUGGGGUCCAGAGAGAGGCGUCAUGGAGAACCGCCGCGGCUGUGACGACACGGUUGUUACGGGAGGAGAAGCGGAGAUUGCGUGCGAGGGGGAGGCGGCACAGGAUAAAUAUGAAGGAGAGGGUGGCUAAAUUGUGCAUGGGUGCUGGUGAUAGACGGGGAGAGAGAAAGAGUGGACAUGGUGUGUUGUGGAAAUUUUUUUUUUGGCCGGUAGUAGGAAAGGGCGGCCCGAGUAUGUCCUUAUCACCUGGAGAGAAGGCUACAAGAGCAAGCAGAGGGAGCUGGUGAAAUGGGUUUUGACUAGGAGGAUUACGAAUAGUGAUCUUGAGGCUGCUGAUCUUGAUGAAGAUGGAGUUGUUGGAGCUGCGGAGUUUAUAGUGUAUAACUGAAAGAGAUGGGGAAGAUUGAUGAAACAGAUAUCUCUGGGAUCGUGGAAGAGUUUGAGAAGCUAGAUUACGAUGAGUCUAGAACUAUGACGACUUCUGACAUCGUUCUAGCUCAGAUGAAUCGGGAUCUUUGUUAUGUUAUAUAUGCACAUCACUUAACAACAACAAAAAGCAAAGGAAGUGAACAGUUUUUUUAGGAACUUUUGUAUGUUUCUGUUUGUGUUUUGUAAUGGCACAUUCUCGCUCUUUUACUGUUUUUUUUAUGCUUGAGUGUAUGAUCUACAAACGUAUAGAUAUUUCGAUUGAUACAAACACUUUGUGUAAUAAAACUGAAUUUCUUCCUAUUAACCUGUAAUGGAGCUCUGUUUUUUCCA